GACGAACGCUGGCGGCGUGCUUGACACAUGCAAGUCGAACGGACAGACAGAGAGCUUGCUCUCUUGAAGUUAGUGGCGAACGGGUGAGUAACGCGUAAUCAACCUGCCCUUCAGAGGGGGAUAACAACGGGAAACCGUUGCUAAUACCGCGUACGAUUCAUGAACGGCAUCGUUUAUGAAUGAAAGGUGGCCUCUAUGUAUAAGCUAUCGCUGAAGGAGGGGAUUGCGUCUGAUUAGCUAGUUGGAGGGGUAACGGCCCACCAAGGCAAUGAUCAGUAGCCGGUCUGAGAGGAUGAACGGCAACAGUGGGAAUGAGACACGGACCGAACUCCUACGGGAGGCAGCAGUGGGGAAUAUUCCGCAAUGGACGAAAGUCUGACGGAGCAACGCCGCGUGAGUGAUGAAGGUCUUCGGAUUGUAAAGCUCUGUUAAUCGGGACGAAAGAGUUCUGCGUGAAUAAUGCAGAAAAGUGACAGUACCGGAAUAGAAAGCCACGGCUAACUACGUGCCAGCCGCCGCCGUAA
This 524-nucleotide ribosomal RNA is filed under the name uncultured bacterium. RNAcentral describes it as "partial 16S ribosomal RNA". It matches the Rfam family "Bacterial small subunit ribosomal RNA", at positions 28 to 523 of the family's 1533-position model. The record is from RNAcentral.